UUCUGUGCAUGCAGUACGACGGUUGUAGUUUGAACCAGUUCUGGAAGCUCCCACACAGGUGGGUGUGUCUUAUCCCUUGCAGAUGAAGGAAGCUAUUGACUUUUAAAUAAGGGUCCUCUGUAGACGCUCGAUGUAAUUGCAUACAUGAACGUUCAGCAGAACACCAAGUUUGAACGUGGCGAGGGUACGAAGACGAGGAGAGUGCUAACUAUUCAUGAGAAUGCUGCUGAACCAGACAGAGUAUCUGCAUCAAAACUACAGUUUACAUUACAUGUGGAGACACCAUCAAGAAAGUCUCAAACUACAACACGUACAAUGAUGCGCUUCUUCUCCAGCUUGGGGAACUAUGCCUUUGAUUUGGAUUAUCCAAAGUAUUUUCACGUGCUUUGAGUUCUUUUCAAAAAAUCAUAAUUAGAGAAAAGUUUUCCUGGCAGAUUCCAGCAAAUUGAUGCAGUUCACUACAAGGUAUUUGUGUAUAAAUUAAUUAGAUAUAUUGUUGAAAUCUCAGCUAAAGAUCAAUACUUCAAACUGUAACGCAAACCUUCAUAGGUUUUAAAAAACAAGUAUAAUUCAUUGAAUUGGAAAAUAAUUGAUUUUAGCCCUAUAUACAGAUAUAUUCAUUUACUUCAAAUUCACCCUUUUUGUGUUUGUUUAUGUUUUUGUUUCUUUGUUUUGAUACUUGUGAAAAAUGUAAUUGGUCUUAAUGUUGGGGUCUUAAAAAAAGGAUUGUUGGAAACAUACUGAUAGGCAUGUGGCAUAUUCACAUAAAUGUCACAUUAUUUUUGCUGUCGUGAUGUACAAUAUUCUCUAGGGGUGACCAUAAAAAUACAUUUGUAUUUUAUUGUGUCCAUUUUCAUGAUUCGAUAGAACUGAAUAGGCCUUUCACCACAAUCCUAUAGGUGAAAAUGAAGACAGCUUUGUGAAGUGCCCUAAAUGCGUUUAUUUCAAUGUUGUUAAUAUUGUGACUGAAGUUUUACUUGCAAUUUUGAAUACUGUUCGAAAACUAAACACAC
Molecule: long non-coding RNA, 1013 nt
Organism: Patiria miniata (bat star)
Lineage: Eukaryota; Metazoa; Echinodermata; Asteroidea; Valvatida; Asterinidae
Exons: 4
Source: RefSeq, a predicted model, not a curated record